RNAcentral lists this ribosomal RNA (344 nucleotides) under eukaryotic picoplankton environmental sample. RNAcentral describes it as "SSU rRNA". It matches the Rfam family "Eukaryotic small subunit ribosomal RNA", at positions 594 to 945 of the family's 1831-position model. The record is from RNAcentral.
AUAGCGUAUAUUAAAGUUGUUGCAGUUAAAAAGCUCGUAGUUGAAUUUUGGGCCUGGUUGGUCGGUCUGCCUUUGGUAUGAACUGAUCGACUGGGCCUUUCCUUCUGGCGAACUAUUGUGCUAUUCAUUUAGUGCGAUAGGGAACCAGGACUUUUACUUUGAAAAAAUUAGAGUGUUUAAAGCAGGCUUACGCUUGAAUACAUUAGCAUGGAAUAAUAGAAUAGGACUUUGGUUUUAUUUUGUUGGUUUCUAAGACCGAAGUAAUGAUUAAUAGGGAUAGUUGGGGGCAUUAGUAUUUAAUCGUCAGAGGUGAAAUUCUUGGAUUGAUUAAAGACUAACUUCUG